This is a long non-coding RNA of Ipomoea nil (Japanese morning glory), 247 nucleotides long. RefSeq lists it as uncharacterized. Lineage: Eukaryota; Viridiplantae; Streptophyta; Magnoliopsida; Solanales; Convolvulaceae. The record is from RefSeq and is a predicted model, not a curated record. The transcript is spliced from 2 exons.
GAACUGAACCAAACCAAACCGAACCAGCCUGAGGAUAGGCUAGGUCUCUAUAUAUAUCCUCUGUCUCUAUGCUUCCCUAUACAAACUUGCAAUAUAAUUAAGUUUUCAAAGUUGAGAUCGAGUAAAUUUGAAUCAAUGGCUUAUCCGAGCUCUUAUCAUGGCAAAGAUGAUGGUGAUCUUGAAGCAGGUAAUUAUUAUGUGGUUGAAGAAGGCAAAUAUUUGGGAUUGUACAGAGCUACAGUGCAAG